GAGAGCCUGCCUGGCUGGGGCUUGGGGGGGACGUGCGCUCGCCCUGGGCUCCUCCUCCCUCCGCUGUGGUUCCUGGGCCUCGGUUCACAUCCCGGCGCCCCCGCCCCGUAGGUCUCUCCCCCCCCCCCCCAACGCCCCGCAGAGGACGCGCAGCCUGCCGGUGCCAGGCGCUGUGGGAAGAGCCCUGGAGAGAAAAUGCCGCCUUGUUUUGCUCUGCCAGAGCGGCAGACUGAGGCACAGAGCAGUGGAGAUCAUCAUCCAAGGUCGUGCAGUGGCAGGACCCGAAGUGGGAGGAGGCUGCGGCUCCCUGAGGCUCCACGUCCCCCCACCCCUCCCCCGCCAGCCUCCGUCCAGACACCCUGGACCGCCUGCGUCUGCUUUCCCGGGAAGUACCAGGACCUGGGGCUGAAGUGUCAACUCACUUCCUGCCGGAGCUCUAGGAUUAUUUGGUGAGGAUCGCAGGAGUUGACACCGAGACUGGAUCGACAAAUGGACAACAGCCCAGUCAUAUAUAAAACAGAACUGAUCCACGGUCUGUAGCUUCCAGUCCAGGAAGGCAAAUGGCAGACCUCCGCCUGGCCCCGGCUGGCCAGGACUUGAUGGAGAACUGCCAGCUUCCCGAGUUUUUGCCUCCGCUUCCAGCUUAGGACCAAUCCAAAAAAGCCAGUUGUGCCCCCCUCGCCAAUCACAGAGGCGAUGCCCCUCCCUCUCUAGUCAUCCCGAAGCCAGCCUCCCUGGCCAACAGCCACCCAGCCAGGCAGGCAUAUUCCCGCCUUUCCCGCUGGUCCUCCCCGAAGCCCUCCCCUCCCAGCCUGUGAGUCCCUGCUGAACGCAAGCGAUGUGUCUGACUCCCUUGCUCGAGCAACUGCUGAAAUAAACAGCCUUUGGUGGUUCUCC
Phacochoerus africanus (Common warthog) is the source of this 897-nucleotide long non-coding RNA. RefSeq lists it as uncharacterized. NCBI's taxonomy places the organism in Eukaryota, Metazoa, Chordata, Mammalia, Artiodactyla, Suidae. The transcript has 2 exons. The record is from RefSeq and is a predicted model, not a curated record.